RNAcentral lists this ribosomal RNA (432 nucleotides) under uncultured bacterium. RNAcentral describes it as "partial 16S ribosomal RNA". It matches the Rfam family "Bacterial small subunit ribosomal RNA", at positions 338 to 795 of the family's 1533-position model. The record is from RNAcentral.
CCUACGGGAGGCAGCAGUAAGGAAUAUUGGUCAAUGGAGGCAACUCUGAACCAGCCAUGCCGCGUGCAGGAAGACGGCCUAUGGGUUGUAAACUGCUUUUAUCUGGGAAUAUGUACCAGAAGAAUAAGGAUCGGCUAACUCCGUGCCAGCAGCCGCGGUAAUACGGAGGAUCCAAGCGUUAUCCGGAUUUAUUGGGUUUAAAGGGUGCGUAGGCGGCCUAUUAAGUCAGAGGUGAAAGACGGUAGCUCAACUAUCGCAGUGCCUUUGAUACUGAUAGGCUUGAAUAAACUAGAGGUAGGCGGAAUGAGACAAGUAGCGGUGAAAUGCAUAGAUAUGUCUCAGAACACCGAUUGCGAAGGCAGCUUACUAUGGUUUAUUGACGCUGAGGCACGAAAGCGUGGGGAUCAAACAGGAUUAGAUACCCUUGUAGUC